CGAUGGCCGUCGUCAGCUCGUGUCGUGAGAUGUUGGGUUAAGUCCCGCAACGAGCGCAACCCUCGCCUCUAGUUGCCAGCAUUCGGUUGGGCACUCUAGAGGGACUGCCGGCGACAAGUCGGAGGAAGUGGGGAUGACGUCAAAUCAUCAUGCCCCUUAUGACCUGGGCUACACACGUGCUACAAUGGGCGGUACAAAGGGCUGCGAACCCGCGAGGGGGAGCGAAUCCCAAAAAGCCGCUCUCAGUUCGGAUUGCAGGCUGCAACUCGCCUGCAUGAAGCCGGAAUCGCUAGUAAUCGCGGAUCAGCAUGCCGCGGUGAAUACGUUCCCGGGCCUU
RNAcentral lists this ribosomal RNA (337 nucleotides) under uncultured Geobacillus sp. RNAcentral describes it as "bacterial SSU rRNA". It matches the Rfam family "Bacterial small subunit ribosomal RNA", at positions 1042 to 1382 of the family's 1533-position model. Lineage: Bacteria; Bacillati; Bacillota; Bacilli; Caryophanales; Anoxybacillaceae. The record is from RNAcentral.